UCUAUCUUUUAUCUUGAAACU
This 21-nucleotide small nuclear RNA is filed under the name Arabidopsis thaliana (thale cress). RNAcentral's name for it is "snRNA_01147". Lineage: Eukaryota; Viridiplantae; Streptophyta; Magnoliopsida; Brassicales; Brassicaceae. The record is from RNAcentral.